AGGGGUAUAGCUCAGUUGGUAGAGUGCUUAUCUAGCAUCUGUGAAGUCCUGGGUUCAACUCCCAGCCCUA
This 70-nucleotide transfer RNA is filed under the name Cricetulus griseus (Chinese hamster). It matches the Rfam family "tRNA". Rfam says of the family: Transfer RNA (tRNA) molecules are approximately 80 nucleotides in length. Their secondary structure includes four short double-helical elements and three loops (D, anti-codon, and T loops). Further hydrogen bonds mediate the characteristic L-shaped molecular structure. tRNAs have two regions of fundamental functional importance: the anti-codon, which is responsible for specific mRNA codon recognition, and the 3' end, to which the tRNAs corresponding amino acid is attached (by aminoacyl-tRNA synthetases). tRNAs cope with the degeneracy of the genetic code in two manners: having more than one tRNA (with a specific anti-codon) for a particular amino acid; and 'wobble' base-pairing, i.e. permitting non-standard base-pairing at the 3rd anti-codon position. The record is from Rfam by way of RNAcentral. Lineage: Eukaryota; Metazoa; Chordata; Mammalia; Rodentia; Cricetidae.